This 253-nucleotide ribosomal RNA is filed under the name uncultured bacterium. Its description in RNAcentral is "partial 16S ribosomal RNA". It matches the Rfam family "Bacterial small subunit ribosomal RNA", at positions 524 to 776 of the family's 1533-position model. The record is from RNAcentral.
UACGUAGGGUGCAGGCGUUAAUCGGAAUUAUUGGGCGUAAAGAGCUCGUAGGCGGUUUGUCGCGUCUGCCGUGAAAGUCCGGGGCUCAACUCCGGAUCUGCGGUGGGUACGGGCAGACUAGAGUGAUGUAGGGGAGACUGGAAUUCCUGGUGUAGCGGUGAAAUGCGCAGAUAUCAGGAGGAACACCGAUGGCGAAGGCAGGUCUCUGGGCAUUAACUGACGCUGAGGAGCGAAAGCAUGGGGAGCGAACAGG